GAAUGCACACGUAAGCGUCAUAAAAACACUUAAGUGUUGUUCAAGUUGGGGGGGAAGGUGACUUGAGGUAUUAGCAUUAGCGGCAUUACCACUAGGCCCCACACACACAUAUACGAGCCUUUCAACUGGGUCACGGCAAGGACACACACUGAGCCAAGCUCACCAGCGGGGCGUUAACAGGCCAAAACGCCCCAAAGUCACAUUUGACAUGGCUCUUAUUACUUUGAGUCUGCCAUCUUCACGCGAAACACAGUUGUACAGUAGCGACUGGAGCCAAUCCGAUGGAUGACGGAAACAUCUCCCCUGAGACGACAAUCUCCGUGGAACGAGGAGAUUGAUGAGGUGGAGCUGUACGGAUGUUCGUGGCAAACUGCGACCGCGGCAGAUGAAUUGGGCAAAGUUAAUGCAAGAUAUUCAACACAUCGUGGCAGAUGAUGGAUGAGAGGUAGCCAGCUACCGCUAACUAGCAACUAAGCUAAUUAGCUGGCUUAGUAGAAGCAGACGUUGCCAGCCAGUACGAAUUUACACAUUUUACAGCACCGGCUUAAAACAGACCACGGCCACGAUGCAGCGAGGGAUCCUCGUUAAAUUUUCCAGAAUUUUGUGGGUGAGGCUAAAAAGUGUCCUCGUGGUGUCACGAGGAUCAGAUGAAGAUGUGGCAAGCCCCCUUAUUCCACGCAUGCAGAGGCCAUUUGGCAGAAUUGGAACUUCCUCGUUCAUAAACCCAGUUCAACCAGUAUAGUGGGCAGUUGGCCAUGAAACUAUAUCCACAACUCGAAAAAAAACAUCUUCCCUGGAAUGUAACGUGUUUUUGUGUUUGGCGACGUGUCUCGCGUGUGGCACGUUGUGUUGGGAGGCAGUGGCGACAUCAUCUGGAAGGACUUCCGCAACUUCGUCAUCUGAAAUCUACACAAGAACUUGAGUCUAAAAUGGGAAAAUGUCUUUUUUUUUUUUUUACUUUUUCAGAAAACGAGAAAAUGAAGAUGCAUUCUUCAUCUUCAACCUUUUAAUCAAAAAUGUAUCUUCACAAAUGUAAAUAUAGUCAGCAAUUACCUUCCUUUAGCCAUUUUUUACAAUGAUACAGUCUUUAUGAUGAAACUUCUGAAGGACUCUCCUAACAAAGAGGCUUUGAAAACGCUCAGUGUUUUGUAAAAAAAUCAAUUUAUUUCUAAAUGCUGUUCCUUACCCCCUGGCAGAAAAUGUUCUGUAUGCACUUUGUAUACAGGCAGCGGAGCCGGACGUCAACGCACGUCUUUGCUGACAGCGGGGACGUUGGAGUGUCGGAGCUCUCAACGACACGUCCGCAGCAUCUGGAAGCUGAAAGAAUGUCUCAAUCCUUGACCAUUUUGAAGCUUGAUUUCACAUUCUUUGCGAUAUUUUCAUCCAUUCAUUCAUUGGCUGCCUUGUUAACAAGACUCUUUGCUGUUAUGUGUCAAAUUUAGAAGAUUUGUUUAUUUUCUGCUCUGUUUUGGGGGUCUUUCAGUUACAUAAUUCCUUUUAGAGUCCUUGUUUGCAUUCCACACACAAUGGCCUCAAAAUAUAACUUUUUCAACAAUCUGUUAAAUAGUCCCUGAACUGAUCUUUUUUGAUCUGGGAGGAUUUCACUGUAAUAGUCUUCCACCAGAUUAGAACCCAGAUACAUGGAAUAAAACUGAAAAUGAAUGUGAGCAAAGCUGUUUACUAUGUCCAUGGAUGUGUUGCCUACUAUCGCAUUAAUUUAUCUACUGCAUAAAAGUCCAGGUCUAGAUGUUAACAUUGAAUGGGAAAACCCCUUUGAGCAGUAACG
Molecule: long non-coding RNA, 1786 nt
Organism: Phyllopteryx taeniolatus (common seadragon)
Lineage: Eukaryota; Metazoa; Chordata; Actinopteri; Syngnathiformes; Syngnathidae
Exons: 3
Source: RefSeq, a predicted model, not a curated record